RNAcentral lists this ribosomal RNA (253 nucleotides) under uncultured bacterium. RNAcentral's name for it is "partial 16S ribosomal RNA". It matches the Rfam family "Bacterial small subunit ribosomal RNA", at positions 524 to 776 of the family's 1533-position model. The record is from RNAcentral.
UACGGAGGGUGCAAGCGUUAUCCGGAUUCACUGGGUUUAAAGGGUGCGUAGGUGGGUCUGUAAGUCAGUGGUGAAAUCUCCGAGCUUAACUCGGAAACUGCCAUUGAUACUAUAGAUCUUGAAUUUUCUGGAGGUUAGCGGAAUAUGUCAUGUAGCGGUGAAAUGCUUAGAUAUGACAUAGAACACCAAUUGCGAAGGCAGCUGGCUACAGGAAUAUUGACACUGAGGCACGAAAGCGUGGGGAUCAAACAGG